UACGUAUGGGGCAAGCGUUAUCCGGAUUUACUGGGUGUAAAGGGAGCGUAGGCGGCCUGGCAAGCCUGAUGUGAAAUACCGGGGCCCAACCCCGGGGCUGCAUUGGGAACUGCCAGGCUGGAGUGCCGGAGAGGCAGGUGGAAUUCCUAGUGUAGCGGUGAAAUGCGUAGAUAUUAGGAGGAACACCAGUGGCGAAGGCGGCCUGCUGGACGGUGACUGACGCUGAGGCUCGAAAGCGUGGGGAGCAAACAGG
RNAcentral lists this ribosomal RNA (253 nucleotides) under uncultured bacterium. RNAcentral describes it as "partial 16S ribosomal RNA". It matches the Rfam family "Bacterial small subunit ribosomal RNA", at positions 524 to 776 of the family's 1533-position model. The record is from RNAcentral.